RNAcentral lists this ribosomal RNA (253 nucleotides) under uncultured prokaryote. Its description in RNAcentral is "partial 16S ribosomal RNA". It matches the Rfam family "Bacterial small subunit ribosomal RNA", at positions 524 to 776 of the family's 1533-position model. The record is from RNAcentral.
UACAGAGGGUGCAAGCGUUGUUCGGAGUUAUUGGGCGUAAAGCGCGUGUAGGCGGCUUUGCAAGUCGGGUGUGAAAUCCCUCAGCUUAACUGAGGAAGUGCGCCCGAAACUGCCGAGCUUGAAUACCGGAGAGGAUGGCGGAAUUCCCCAAGUAGAGGUGAAAUUCGUAGAUAUCGGGAGGAACACCGGUGGCGAAGGCGGGUCUCUGGGCCGAUACUGACGCUGAGGAGCGAAAGCAUGGGUAGCGAACAGG